This 277-nucleotide ribosomal RNA is filed under the name uncultured bacterium. RNAcentral describes it as "partial 16S ribosomal RNA". It matches the Rfam family "Bacterial small subunit ribosomal RNA", at positions 511 to 788 of the family's 1533-position model. The record is from RNAcentral.
GCAGCCGCGGUAAUACGUAGGGGGCUAGCGUUAUCCGGAUUUACUGGGCGUAAAGGGUGCGUAGGCGGUUUUUUAAGUCAGAAGUGAAAGGCUACGGCUUAACCGUAGUAAGCUUUUGAAACUGGAGAACUUGAGUGCAGGAGAGGAGAGUGGAAUUCCUAGUGUAGCGGUGAAAUGCGUAGAUAUUAGGAGGAACACCAGUAGCGAAGGCGGCUCUCUGGACUGUAACUGACGCUGAGGCACGAAAGCGUGGGGAGCAAACAGGAUUAGAUACCCC